UGGGGAAUCUUGCACAAUGGGGGCAACCCUGAUGCAGCGACGCCGCGUGAGCGAUGAAGCCCUUCGGGGUGUAAAGCUCUUUCGGCAGGGAAGAUAAUGACGGUACCUGCAGAAGCAGCUGCGGCUAACUACGUGCCAGCAGCCGCGGUAAUACGUAGGCAGCAAGCGUUGUUCGGAGUUACUGGGCGUAAAGGGUGUGUAGGCGGUCGCCUAAGUUUGGUGUGAAAUCUCCCGGCUUAACUGGGAGGGUGCGCCGAAUACUGAGCGACUAGAGUACGGGAGAGGAAAGUGGAAUUCCUGGUGUAGCGGUGAAAUGCGUAGAUAUCAGGAGGAACACCGGCGGUGUAGACGGCUUUCUGGACCGUAACUGACGCUGAGACACGAAAGCGUGGGUAGCAAACA
Molecule: ribosomal RNA, 402 nt
Filed under: uncultured prokaryote
Description: bacterial SSU rRNA
Rfam family: Bacterial small subunit ribosomal RNA
Source: RNAcentral